GUAAAGCCCUGGAAAGUGAAGUCCUUUUUCUGUCCAUUAACCAGGCGCUGAAUGGAUGGAAAAGCAAAAGCUUCCCCAGCCGGGCUCUGUGCUGCUCUCCCAAUACGCCUGCGCCGAGGCCCGGGUGUGCCCUCUCCCGGGUGACAGGAUGGUUUUGUUUCCUUGUCCGUUUAUUUCAUGGCAUCU
This 186-nucleotide small RNA is filed under the name Calidris pygmaea (Spoon-billed sandpiper). Its description in RNAcentral is "TUC338 (ENSCPGG00000017196.1)". The record is from RNAcentral. Lineage: Eukaryota; Metazoa; Chordata; Aves; Charadriiformes; Scolopacidae.